GUGCUCGCUUCUUGUGCAGCACAUAUAUUAAAAUUGGAAUGAUAACAGAGAAGAUGAUCAUGGUCCCUGUGCAAAGAUGUUUAUAUCUAUAUAUAUAAAAAUAAUAAUAAU
RNAcentral lists this small nuclear RNA (111 nucleotides) under Salvator merianae (Argentine black and white tegu). Lineage: Eukaryota; Metazoa; Chordata; Lepidosauria; Squamata; Teiidae. The record is from RNAcentral.